UGCCAGCCGCCGCGGUAAUACGGAGGGUACAAACGUUGUUCGGAAUUACUGGGCAUAAAGCGCACGUAGGCGGCCUGAUAAGUCAGUUGUGAAAGCCCUCGGCUCAACCGGGGAACUGCAAUUGAUACUGUCAGGCUCGAGGGUGGUUGGGGUGAGUGGAACUUCUGGUGGAGCGGUGAAAUGCGUAGAUAUCAGAAGGAACACCAGUGGCGAAAGCGGCUCACUGGACCAUUUCUGACGCUGAGGUGCGAAAGCUAGGGUAUCAAACGGGAUUAGAUA
RNAcentral lists this ribosomal RNA (279 nucleotides) under uncultured bacterium. RNAcentral describes it as "partial 16S ribosomal RNA". It matches the Rfam family "Bacterial small subunit ribosomal RNA", at positions 506 to 784 of the family's 1533-position model. The record is from RNAcentral.